Molecule: long non-coding RNA, 1049 nt
Filed under: Mus spicilegus (steppe mouse)
Lineage: Eukaryota; Metazoa; Chordata; Mammalia; Rodentia; Muridae
Description: lncRNA (ENSMSIG00000021807.1)
Source: RNAcentral
GAGAGGCGCGGCCAACGCCCGGCCUGGGAGGGACCGACCCAGUGCAAAGGGUGUCGGGGCGCGCCAGGGCUGUACAGCUUUGAACGUACUUGACUCACCUGCUCCGGCGUUGUCGCCUCCUUCUUCUGCUGACAGCUGGGGGCUUUGUUUUCUCCACCCCCUCAGCCGGCCACGCUCCGCCUCCACAGACUCACGUGACUCGCUGUCUGCCACCGUCAGAGUCCACUCGGGAGAGCCCCCUUGGCGCCGCCUCUUCCCCGGGUGGAGGGUGCAGGUAGAGACCCCAGCUGGGGAGGGGACCCAUAGGUACGAGGUGGUUCGCUGAGAAACUCCGGGUCAGACCCGCUAAACUAGUGACCGAGAGAAAAGUGCCUGAGGAGAAAGGGAGAUGGCUGUUGGCUGUAUUCAGCCAGGAGCAGGAAGGAGGGCGAGGCUUGCAGAAAGCAUUCAAAGGUCAUGAUGCCCCACCCUGAAGUACCCGCGCCUGGGGUCUGCACUGCUCCCCGAAACUAUUUGCACUCAUUCCUAGGACCUGGUGGAUAAUGAGGGGGCAAACUAGUUUUUUGUUUGUUUGUUUUCUUUCCACGAAUACUAAUUAAAAGAAGCGCCUCUUAGUCGGAUAGCGCGAUUAAUGACUUAGUAUCUACAUAUUCCAAAUCUACCUUUUGAUUCUGUUCAUGUUCGGUUCUAGCUGGAAAAUAGGUUCCGGACUGGGGACGCUCAUUCUGGAAGCUGAUUGGUGCGGGCACUUGUCCAUCUGGAACUGCAGCAGCUGUUUUUAAUGAAACGAACUAAGAAAAUGCUCUGGACUCAAUACCAGGCUCAGUAUCUGCAGCUCUUGGACGUUGUCCCGACCCUUGCUGUUCACAAUAUUCUCCAGUGUCUGACAUGGAAACAAAUUGUGGGACUCCUUCCUUUAGUUCCCAGAGAGCAGGAUAAUGCCCAGCUGCCUGUUGGAUGGGUCAUCUAUUUUAAUAUUGGAGCAAGUAAAUGGAUUGUUAAAAAGAUGAACAUUUUUCCCUCCUCAUUAAAAAUCUUGAAAUUUAAAU